Molecule: long non-coding RNA, 121 nt
Organism: Etheostoma spectabile (orangethroat darter)
Lineage: Eukaryota; Metazoa; Chordata; Actinopteri; Perciformes; Percidae
Exons: 3
Source: RefSeq, a predicted model, not a curated record
ACCUUAAUGCUCCCAUAGGAAACCUGUCUUUGGCAAGAAGUGCCGACAACAGCUGCAUACAAACACACGCAUUAGUUAUCAACAGACAGCACAGUACAUGACAAUAUAAAACACAACAAAA